Molecule: ribosomal RNA, 710 nt
Filed under: uncultured bacterium
Lineage: Bacteria
Description: bacterial SSU rRNA
Rfam family: Bacterial small subunit ribosomal RNA
Source: RNAcentral
AGCGGCGGACGGGUGAGUAACGCGUGGGUAACCUGCCCUGUACACACGGAUAACAUACCGAAAGGUAUGCUAAUACGAGAUAAUAUGCUUUUAUCGCAUGGUAGAAGUAUCAAAGCUCCGGCGGUACAGGAUGGACCCGCGUCUGAUUAGCUAGUUGGUAAGGUAACGGCUUACCAAGGCGACGAUCAGUAGCCGACCUGAGAGGGUGAUCGGCCACAUUGGAACUGAGACACGGUCCAAACUCCUACGGGAGGCAGCAGUGGGGAAUAUUGCACAAUGGGCGAAAGCCUGAUGCAGCAACGCCGCGUGAGCGAUGAAGGCCUUCGGGUCGUAAAGCUCUGUCCUCAAGGAAGAUAAUGACGGUACUUGAGGAGGAAGCCCCGGCUAACUACGUGCCAGCAGCCGCGGUAAUACGUAGGGGGCUAGCGUUAUCCGGAAUUACUGGGCGUAAAGGGUGCGUAGGUGGUUUCUUAAGUCAGAGGUGAAAGGCUACGGCUCAACCGUAGUAAGCCUUUGAAACUGGGAAACUUGAGUGCAGGAGAGGAGAGUGGAAUUCCUAGUGUAGCGGUGAAAUGCGUAGAUAUUAGGAGGAACACCAGUUGCGAAGGCGGCUCUCUGGACUGUAACUGACACUGAGGCACGAAAGCGUGGGGAGCAAACAGGAUUAGAUACCCUGGUAGUCCACGCCGUAAACGAUGAGUACUAGCUGU